UGGACUCAUGCAAGGCUAAUUUUGAAUGUUGGCCUUCUACAACCACAUCCUCCAUAGUACUGAAUGCCACUUCUAUGUCUUUGCCCAAGUCAUCUCUGCAAGAAAACAAUGUUUCAAGAAAAAGAGGACCCUUUCAAAUGGCAUUUACAAGCUGGCAUGAUGAAGAGGAACACUUUUUAUGGACACACAAUUUCUUUAUUGCAAUAGGUGUGACAUUUCCCUGCAGAUCAUAAGACCAUUAUCAAGCAAAUGAUAAUGGUGUUGGCAUCUACACCUGAAACAUCACAUCAAUUGCAAUAAAGAUCUAUCCACAUACCUUUUUGAAUGGUAGCCUUUACAUACAACCAGGAUGACGUUCUUCAAAGCAAUCUUAGCACUAAGGUCACCUAACUCCCAUACCUUAACACAGACUUAAGGUAAUCGUAGCGCUGAGGUUGUUUUGUGCAACGGCACCAAGAUCCUUUAUGGUUUUGAAUAUGCCAUAUCUUGGACCUAACUGUCUGCUAUCUGUGCUACAUAAAAUAGUCUGU
Molecule: long non-coding RNA, 530 nt
Organism: Haliotis rubra (blacklip abalone)
Lineage: Eukaryota; Metazoa; Mollusca; Gastropoda; Lepetellida; Haliotidae
Exons: 2
Source: RefSeq, a predicted model, not a curated record